Molecule: transfer RNA, 75 nt
Filed under: Parcubacteria group bacterium
Lineage: Bacteria
Description: tRNA-Lys
Rfam family: tRNA
About the family: Transfer RNA (tRNA) molecules are approximately 80 nucleotides in length. Their secondary structure includes four short double-helical elements and three loops (D, anti-codon, and T loops). Further hydrogen bonds mediate the characteristic L-shaped molecular structure. tRNAs have two regions of fundamental functional importance: the anti-codon, which is responsible for specific mRNA codon recognition, and the 3' end, to which the tRNAs corresponding amino acid is attached (by aminoacyl-tRNA synthetases). tRNAs cope with the degeneracy of the genetic code in two manners: having more than one tRNA (with a specific anti-codon) for a particular amino acid; and 'wobble' base-pairing, i.e. permitting non-standard base-pairing at the 3rd anti-codon position.
Source: RNAcentral
GCCCUUGUAGCUCAGUGGUAGAGCAGUUGCCUCUUAAGCAAACGGUCCCAGGUUCAAGUCCUGGCGGGGGCACCA